Molecule: ribosomal RNA, 1435 nt
Filed under: uncultured organism
Description: SSU rRNA
Rfam family: Bacterial small subunit ribosomal RNA
Source: RNAcentral
UAGGAUGAACGCUAGCUACAGGCUUAACACAUGCAAGUCGAGGGGCAGCAUGGUCUUAGCUUGCUAAGGCCGAUGGCGACCGGCGCACGGGUGAGUAACACGUAUCCAACCUGCCGUCUACUCUUGGACAGCCUUCUGAAAGGAAGAUUCAUACAAGAUGGCAUCAUGAGUCCACAUGUUCACAUGAUUAAAGGUAUUCCGGUAGACGAUGGGGAUGCGUUCCAUUAGAUAGUAGGCGGGGUAACGGCCCACCUAGUCUUCGAUGGAUAGGGGUUCUGAGAGGAAGGUCCCCCACAUUGGAACUGAGACACGGUCCAAACUCCUACGGGAGGCAGCAGUGAGGAAUAUUGGUCAAUGGGCGAGAGCCUGAACCAGCCAAGUAGCGUGAAGGAUGACUGCCCUAUGGGUUGUAAACUUCUUUUAUAAAGGAAUAAAGUCGGGUAUGCAUACCCGUUUGCAUGUACUUUAUGAAUAAGGAUCGGCUAACUCCGUGCCAGCAGCCGCGGUAAUACGGAGGAUCCGAGCGUUAUCCGGAUUUAUUGGGUUUAAAGGGAGCGUAGAUGGAUGUUUAAGUCAGUUGUGAAAGUUUGCGGCUCAACCGUAAAAUUGCAGUUGAUACUGGAUAUCUUGAGUGCAGUUGAGGCAGGCGGAAUUCGUGGUGUAGCGGUGAAAUGCUUAGAUAUCACGAAGAACUCCGAUUGCGAAGGCAGCCUGCUAAGCUGCAACUGACAUUGAGGCUCGAAAGUGUGGGUAUCAAACAGGAUUAGAUACCCUGGUAGUCCACACGGUAAACGAUGAAUACUCGCUGUUUGCGAUAUACUGCAAGCGGCCAAGCGAAAGCGUUAAGUAUUCCACCUGGGGAGUACGCCGGCAACGGUGAAACUCAAAGGAAUUGACGGGGGCCCGCACAAGCGGAGGAACAUGUGGUUUAAUUCGAUGAUACGCGAGGAACCUUACCCGGGCUUAAAUUGCAGAUGAAUUACGGUGAAAGCCGUAAGCCGCAAGGCAUCUGUGAAGGUGCUGCAUGGUUGUCGUCAGCUCGUGCCGUGAGGUGUCGGCUUAAGUGCCAUAACGAGCGCAACCCUUGUUGUCAGUUACUAACAGGUUCUGCUGAGGACUCUGACAAGACUGCCAUCGUAAGAUGUGAGGAAGGUGGGGAUGACGUCAAAUCAGCACGGCCCUUACGUCCGGGGCUACACACGUGUUACAAUGGGGGGUACAGAGGGCCGCUACCACGCGAGUGGAUGCCAAUCCCAAAAACCUCUCUCAGUUCGGACUGGAGUCUGCAACCCGACUCCACGAAGCUGGAUUCGCUAGUAAUCGCGCAUCAGCCACGGCGCGGUGAAUACGUUCCCGGGCCUUGUACACACCGCCCGUCAAGCCAUGGGAGCCGGGGGUACCUGAAGUGCGUAACCGCGAGGAGCGCCCUAGGGUA